GACACACACACACACGUAUACUAACACAUACCUCUCCCUCACCCAGAUCCCACCCCUUCCCGACCUUGCUCAGCAGCCAGGUGUCAGAUACCCCCAGCGUAACCUAACACAAACGCAUACACAUACACACACAGGUUGAGUAAUAGAGCUCAUUAUUUAUUAGGUAGACCUCCUGAGCUCAACCCUGAAUCAUUCAUUUGGUGAAGCUGCUCUCCUGCAUGGAGUUAUGGUGUACACACUGCCCUGCCUCUCUCUGACCUAACCGGCUAACUGCUGACCACUGAAUGACUGCUAACGGUGGACUGGGUUACUACCAGACCUGGACUACAACUACUACUGCUGUAGCUAACCUGUUGCUAUCAUAAGACUGGACUACUACUAUUGUAACUUUCCUGCUCUAAUUGUUUCUACAUUAUGGUGGCAUGUACUGCCCUGAAUAUCGUCGAAUCUAACCUGCUAACCGUGGCUAACUGUCGCUAACUGUGGACUGGGUUACUACGUUAGGCCUGGACAACGGCUCUAAGAUCUAAACUGCUGUAACACUGUGACCUGCUGUAGCUAAAUUGCAACAUUGGAUUGAACAAUGGUGCUAAGCCCUCUAACAUUGAGCUGACAUUGCCUCUUUCUCUCUAACCUGCUGCCUCUGACCAGCAAACAGCUAACUGGGCUAACAGCUAAUUGGGCUUACUGGGCUAACAGCUAACUGGUAACUAGGCUAACUGGUAACUGGGCUAACAGCUAACUGGGAUAACUGGGCUAGCUCCAGCAUGGCCAUCACUCUUCUCCUGAUCAUCACCUUCUACCUGGGAUACACACACUCACAGGCUGACGUAUCCAGUCUGAGUCCUCGAACAGUGUUUACGGUCAUGGUGACCGCCGCCUCCUCCUCCAACCUCAGCCCACCGGUCAGCCGUAUAAUCAACACCAACAAGACCGG
This 937-nucleotide long non-coding RNA is filed under the name Oncorhynchus kisutch (coho salmon). RNAcentral describes it as "lncRNA (ENSOKIG00005016429.1)". Lineage: Eukaryota; Metazoa; Chordata; Actinopteri; Salmoniformes; Salmonidae. The record is from RNAcentral.